This is a long non-coding RNA of Penaeus vannamei (Pacific white shrimp), 1073 nucleotides long. RefSeq lists it as uncharacterized. The record is from RefSeq and is a predicted model, not a curated record. Lineage: Eukaryota; Metazoa; Arthropoda; Malacostraca; Decapoda; Penaeidae.
UGUUUGUUUAUGGAGGUGGGGUGGGAGUAAAAACGUAAUUGAUUAACGUGUUUUAUUUAUAUCAGGUGUACUAUAAACAAAGACCGAUUAUUUUAUGUAUAAGUAAUGAAUUCAAGUAUUCAGUAUGCGAUUGUUUUCGUAGACAUGGAAGUUAGUCGGACAGAGGAAUAUGCGUAAUAAAUUACCAUCUCGCGCAUGCGCAAGUAUGCAGUUAUUGAUUCAUUCCGCUAUUGAUUAAAGAGACAUGUAAAAGUCAAGUCAUCUACACAUUUCUUCCAAUAUUUUUUUUUAUCAAAUAACAAGUGUUUAUCACCGGAUGAUGUUGAGAUACAUAGCCCAUUUUUAAAAUUAUCACAAGACAAGGUUUUUCCCCAGGUCUCGAAUGCCAUACCGGGGAUCAGUAACCUUUUCGGGGGAACUCCAGCCAUCGGUUGUCGGUUGUCGGCAGGAAAAUAUGUAUAGCCAGACUGCAGCUCGGGUGUUUGUCAGCCACCACUGAACACAUCUCAGAUCACCGUCUAAAAAUAUCUGCCUCUGUUUCAGGCUCUUUCUGCUCUUUUGUGAAAAUGAUGCCUGCAUGAAACCAGUUCUAGCGUCCAGUCACCAAAAGCGGAACGUUUGAGGAACAGGUGGACGUCAAGAAAGAAAACAAGAACCUAGUAUGAGGCUUCUCCUCUUUGGUCGCUCCCCUCCCUCUUUCAGACAGAUUACACAGAAAAGCCUCCCAUGGAGUCUUUAGAGCUCGAGAAUAGGAAAAACUCCCAGUCAGAGGCCCCUGAUUUAGACGAAGUUGCUUCAGAGCACAAAUUUCAUGGAGAUUGCAACCACAAGAACAACUUACGGCCGUGCUUGCUUCACCAUCCUCUGGACUUCUUUGUCAUCUGAUAUUUGCCUUGACCCUGGGAGAGAGAGCUGACUUUCUCAGAAGCUCAGGAAACAGAACGAUUCCUGGUUAAAGCUAAUCCCCGUAAGUUGAUAAUUAGAUAAAUCCCUUGCCAGUACUUAAUAAUUAGUAAUUAAACUCUGGUGCUCAAGACGAAGAUCUUUGCCUAUUCUCGGGUUUUGAGGCUCAU